GAUAAACGCUGGCUACAGGCUUAACACAUGCAAGUCGAGGGGAAACGACGGGGAAGCUUGCUUCCCCGGGCGUCGACCGGCGCACGGGUGAGUAACGCGUAUCCAACCUGCCUCUGACUGAGGGAUAACCCGUCGAAAGUCGGCCUAAUACCUCAUGGCAUCGUCUGCGGGCAUCCAACGACGAUUAAAGAUUUCAUCGGUCAGGGAUGGGGAUGCGUCUGAUUAGCUUGUUGGCGGGGUAACGGCCCACCAAGGCUACGAUAAGUAGGGGUUCUGAGAGGAAGGUCCCCCACAUUGGAACUGAGACACGGUCCAAACUCCUACGGGAGGCAGCAGUGAGGAAUAUUGGUCAAUGGGCGGGAGCCUGAACCAGCCAAGUAGCGUGCAGGAUGGCGGCCCUAUGGGUUGUAAACUGCUUUUAUGCGGGGAUAAAGUGAGGGACGUGUCCUUCAUUGCAGGUACCGCAUGAAUAAGGACCGGCUAAUUCCGUG
RNAcentral lists this ribosomal RNA (491 nucleotides) under uncultured bacterium. RNAcentral describes it as "partial 16S ribosomal RNA". It matches the Rfam family "Bacterial small subunit ribosomal RNA", at positions 28 to 507 of the family's 1533-position model. The record is from RNAcentral.